AUCUGAUCAGCUUUUGUUGUUAUUGUAAAAUAGACUUUUGAAUCUCAAGACAGAGUAUGUGUCAUUGAGAAAAGGCUAUUUUUGAGUUCUAAUCUUUAUCCAUUGAAUAGCAAGAGCCAAGGUUCCCUAUGUAAACAAUAAACAAAGAAUAUGCAGUAAGAACUUAUUUUUUUCCUCCAACCAUCUAGGUCAUAUUUAAGAUUCCAUGGGCUGGGAAGAUGAAGAAAAAUUGGAGAGGUCCUUCUGGCUGUACCAUGUGGGACGCCACCUCAGCAUGGCCUGAUGAAUGGGGCCAUGUCCAAGCCCAGGAUCCGAACCAGUAAAACCCUGGGCUGUCAGAGCGGAAUGCAUGAAAUGAACCACCAAGCCACAGGGCCAGACCCUGUUUUUCUUAUAUGAAACAAAAUGUUACAUAAAAUUUAACUGAAAAGUCACUAAACCUUGGUGAAUUUGUUUUUAUUCCGAUUAUUGUAAGUAGACAAAAGUUGCAAACUACAAUGUGUUAUUGAUUGUGCAUUACUCUAUGUCACACUGUGUUGGGGGCUGCAAAGUUCAGAAAGGCUUGUGAUACACAACUUCAGAGGAAAAAAACCAAGGAAUGAGGCAUGAAGAGAAAUACGUUAGCAGGUCUAUAGCAUAAUCACUAAUGAAAGUAUAGCUUAUGUGAUAUCAUGUACAGUAUGACACCAUUUUAAAGUAUAUACCAUAACCAAAAUUUAAAAAUCUGCCAAAAAUAUUACAUCAAAAUGUUAAAUGCAUCUAUUGAUGACAAAAUUAGAGUGAAUUUAAAAUUUAUUCCCACUUUCAUUUAUUUUCUGAGUGUUUUAUAAUGAAGUUAUAUCCUUUUAAUAGUCUGGUUUGGUAUGAAAAUAGUUUUUGAGAAAAUGCAGCAUUACUGGUAACGAUAAGAUAUCAGUAAGGUGGGAAGGAAUGAGACAGGCUAUCCCAAAAGUAGAAUGGCACCAGGAAAGCAUAGUUUUGGGAAAAGCGAAGGGUUCUUGUGGACGGUGGAGGGUCUGGUCCAGACUUAUGACGAUCUAGAUAGUAGUGGGAGCAUCCUACUGGGAAUUUUCUGGAGUGCUUUGAAAGCUAAGGGGAGGAUCUUGCUUAUGCUCUGGAAGGCAACAUUGUAAAUGCUUAGGCGAGUAAUAUAAUCACAGUAAUGUUUUAGGAAUAUUACUAUACUUGUGGUGCUUAAUUUGAAAUAUAGUGAAAAAUGGGGGGACUAGGCUGGAUAAAAUAAUGCCCAGUCAUCUGUUAUUUAUUUAUAAUAAUAAAAGAUAUUUGAUCAUCUACAUGAACUAAUUUGAAAGUCAAGCUAUCUUUGGAAAAUAAAGAAAAAAAUAAUAUAAUAAAUAACAUCUAACCAUACUGUAUUUUUCCCUGCAUAAAAGACCUACAUGUUUCUCUGCAAACCCUAUCAAAACAGCCUUAUUUACAAAGGAGUUAGUUUCCAUAUACCAGGUCUUCCUUAAAGAGGGUCUUUGUCAUAUAAACUAGUUUUAAGAACUAGUUAAAUUCUAUAUUAACUUUUUAAUUGACAAAGUAUUUUUGUGACUCGUA
Equus asinus (donkey) is the source of this 1563-nucleotide long non-coding RNA. The record is from Ensembl. Lineage: Eukaryota; Metazoa; Chordata; Mammalia; Perissodactyla; Equidae.